CUUACCAAGGCUUGACAUACACCGGAAACGUCCAGAGAUGGGCGCCCCCUUGUGGUCGGUGUACAGGUGGUGCAUGGCUGUCGUCAGCUCGUGUCGUGAGAUGUUGGGUUAAGUCCCGCAACGAGCGCAACCCUUGUCCUGUGUUGCCAGCAGGCCCUUGUGGUGGUGGGGACUCACGGGAGACCGCCGGGGUCAACUCGGAGGAAGGUGGGGACGACGUCAAGUCAUCAUGCCCCUUAUGUCUUGGGCUGCACACGUGCUACAAUGGCCGGUACAAUGAGUUGCGAUACCGCGAGGUGGAGCGAAUCUCAAAGAGCCGGUCUCAGUUCGGAUUGGGGUCUGCAACUCGACCCCAUGAAGUCGGAGUCGCUAGUAAUCGCAGAUCAG
Molecule: ribosomal RNA, 387 nt
Filed under: uncultured bacterium
Lineage: Bacteria
Description: bacterial SSU rRNA
Rfam family: Bacterial small subunit ribosomal RNA
Source: RNAcentral